CAUCAAGCCCAACCUGAUGCAGACUUUGGAGAAAACACCCGUGUUCGCCCAUGCCGGACACUUCGCCCAUGGCAACUCCUCCAUCUUGGCUGAUAAGAUAGCCCUGAAGCUGGUCGGCCAGGAGGGCUUUGCGGGUUACUGCUGGACUGCCCCUGCCCAAAGAAUAUGUGGAAGAGAACCUUGAGCUUCUCGGGAAGGGCUGCAGUAACAUGAGGAAACAGGUGGAAAAUGCCACACACUUUGGAGUGCCGGUGGUGGUGGCCGUCAACGCUUUCAAGACAGACACUGAAAUCAGAGCUGGACCUGAUCUGUAGCCUGGCCAAGGCAGUGGGAGCCUUUGAUGUGGUGCGCUGCUCUCAAUGGGCUGAAGGGGUGCUGGUGCUGUGGCCCUGGGACAGGCUGUGCAGAGGGCUUCUGAGGCCCCCAGCGACUUCAAGUUUCUCUAUGAUGUAGAGGUAAAGCGAGCGUUGGACCUUACUGAAAGACCUUGGUUUUCACUUUAUGACAUAGGUGCAUUGAUUUCAUCCUGCUCAGGUCGUAAAGGUUUUUCUCAUCUUGACUGUUCACUGGCUGGACUUCCAUUCAUACCAUCUCACUAUCAGUCUUGUGUCAUGUCCAUAGAUUAAAAUCACUGAUUCACUUCUUAUGCUCCAAUGACUGUUUUCAUCACAGAGUAUCCAUACAUCAACCCCAUGUCACCCCAUCAGUCAAUGUGCGACUGACAGGUGAGGAGAGAUGUGCCUGUGACCCCUGAGUCGAGGUUAGUCGAAAUGUGAAAUGGCUCUAAUGGCUCUACAGUGGAUCUGUCAGAGACAGGAGCAGGACUGCUGCUGUACACCCCUCUGGUGAUUGGUGACUGCCCAUGCGACUGACUGAGAGCACAAGGGGAAUCAGAGGAGAGGAGCAGUGGAAUAUUGGUUGACUCCUGAUAUAGGCUAUGCAAUGGCUUCCCACUGGGCACAAAUUGGUUGAAUCAACGUUAUUUCAACAUCAUUUGUCAAUGUACUGUAAAGUGGAAUCUAUGUGGAAAAUACAUUGAAUUUGAAAAAAGUAAUCGACAUAAACUGUUGAGGGUGAAAUUUAAACCACAGGAUUAUGUCAUGGUAACCAAAUUUCAACAUAGGAAAAACCUUGUGUAAAAUAUGUUGAAUUUGUACCUUUAAAACGUCAGAUCUUUAACAUUAUAUCCACUAUCAGAAAAAAAAUAGAACUAUCCAAGCAAAAGAUGCUGCCCUGCCUAUCUGUGCCACUGCCGUAGUCUGGCUUUAAUUCCAGUUUGUUUGCAAAUGAAUAAUUGAUAUGUUGGAUUCACGUCUCCAUCUCAACUAAAAAUCCAAGUUAAACAAUAGGACUACAUCAAAUCAAACUUUUUAAAUGCACUUUAAAUAAAGUUUUAUUUGAUUUAGUCCUAUUCUUUAACUUAGAUUUUUGGUUGAGAUGGAGAUGUGAAUCCAACAUAUAAAUUAUUACUGUAGACAAACUGAAAUUGAAGACUAGUCAGUGGCACAGAUGGAAUUAGCCAAGCACAAUAUACAUCUCCUUCAAAUGUUGAUAUUUAGUUGCAUUGGCAACCAAACACAAUUCAAUAUCACUUUUGAAAUACACUAUAUAUACAAAAGUAUGUGGACAUCCCUUCAAAUGAGAGGAUUUGGCUAUUUCAGCCAUACCCAAUGCUGACAGGUGUAUCAAAUUGAGCACACAGCCACGCAACCUCCAUAGACAAACAUUGGCAGUAGAAUGGCCCGUACUGAAGAGCUCAGUAUCUUUUAAUUUGGCACCGUCAUAGGAUGCAAUCUUUCCAACAAGUCAGUUUGUAAAAUGUCUGCUUGUAAAGUGCUGUUAUUGUGAAGUCGAAACAUCUAGGAGAACUUGCCGACUCAGCCUCGAAGUGGUGAGCCACACAAGCUCACAGAACGGGACCGCUGAGGCGCGUAGCACGUGAAAGUCCUCGGUUGCAACACUCAAUCCCGAGUUCCAAACUGCCUCUGGAAGCAAUGUCAGCACAAGAACUGUUUGCUGGGAGCUUCAUGAAAUGGGUUUCCAUGGCCGAGCAGCCGCACACAAGCCUAGGAUAACCAUGCGCAAUGACAACCGUUGUGGCUGGGGUGGUGUAAAGCUCGUCACCAUUGGACUCUGGAGCAGUGGAAAUGCCUUCUCUGGAGUGAUUAAUCCCACUUGACCAUCUGACAGUCCGAUGGACAAAUCUGGGUUUGGCGGAUGCCAAGAAAACACUACCUGCCCGAAUGCAUAGUGUCAACUGUAAAGUUUGAUGGAGCAGGAAUGAUGGUCUGGGGCUGUUUUUCAUGGUUCGGGCUAGGUCCCUUAGUUCCAGUGAAGGAAAAUCUUAACACUACAGUAUACAAUUACAUUCUAGACGAUUCUGUGCUUCCAACUUUGUGGCAACAGUUUGGGGAAGGCCCUUUCCUGUUUCAGCAUGACAAUGCCCCCGUGCACAAAGCAAGGUCCAUACAGGAAUGGUUUGUCGAGAUCUGUGUGGAAAAACUUGACUGGCCUGCACAGAGCCCUGACCUCAACCCCAUCGACCACUUUUGGGAUGAAUUGGAAUUCUGACUGUGAGCCAGGCCUAGUCACCCAACAUCAGUGCCCCGACCUGAAUAAUGCUCAUGUGGCUGAAUGGAAGCAAGUCCCCACAGCAAUGUUCCAACAUCUAGUGGAAAGCCUUCCCAGAAGAGUAGAGACUGUUAUUGUAGCAAAGGGGGGACCAACUCCAUAUUAAUGACCAUGACUUUGGAAUGAGAUGUUCGACGAGCAGCACACCUGCUUGUGUCGUGUAAAAUAUAUAGCCUAUUAACUUAUUAACAAAUGAUAUGCUGGAUUCACUGCUCCAACUCAACCAAAAAUAAAUUAUAAAGAAUGGGAUUAAGCCAGUGGCUCAGAUGGAACUAUACAAGCAGUGAUGCAUAUCCUUUAAAUGUUGAUAUUUGGUCAAUAUGACUUUUACAUGAAAUAUAAUAAAUAGCCUAAUGUUAAGGCUAUCUUACAAACUAAUGUAACAUUCAACCUUAAAAUGAGUAGCACAUCCAUGGCCACAUUGAGGUUAAUGUGAUUAUACAUUUGUUCUUAUGUAAUCAUAUUAAGCAUGCAUGUUCAAGAUAUCAUGCAUGGGUCGUCUCAGGUCUGUGGAGAUCUUCACAAUUGCUGUUGCUGUUGUACUGUGCAGAAUCUGGAACAGCAUGUGUGACAACUAAACCAAAAAUUGGACUUUGUUUUUCGAUUGGAAUUUGUUUGUGCUUUUAUAUGGUUUAAAGCAUAGUGAUAACACACUGGAAAUUCAACUUACUCAUUGACCAACGUCUCAACCAAAUAUUACCCAAUUGUCCACGUUAAAAUGACGUGGUGUGCCCAGUGGGUUGGUACUGUUGCAAAUGCACUAAAUUGAAACAUGUUGACGAAUCCGUGUAGAUGACCUGAACCAGUUUUAUGGUACUCAUAUGUCAUGCAUGUGUGUGUUUGUCUGUCUGAAUCACUUUUAGCUGCCCAUUGUGGAGAAGAUCCAGAUCAUUGCUCAGAAGAUCUACGGAGCUGAUAACAUAGAGCUGCUGCCAGAUGCACAGCACAAGGUGGAGCUUUACACCAAAUGGGUACAAUGGCUAUGAGACCAAGGAUUUUAAUCGAGAUGGUUAUUUGUUUACAUGAUAUCUGGAGCUCAUUCUACUCAAGGACAUGGGCCUUUCGUUGUCAACUUCAUCCUUGAAGGUUCAAGAAAAAGAGACUUAAGGCCAGAGUUUAUUUUUGUUGGUGAAAUUCUGUCAACAAACUUGCAUUUCUAUUUGAGGUUUUAAUCUCCUUUCAAUGAAUGCCAUUAUUGUCUUGUCCAGGGCUUUGGGGAAUCUGCCCAUCUGCAUGGCAAAGACCCAUCUUUUCACUUUCCUUCCUCUGUCAAUAAUGUCCUUUAUUUUUCACUCAGUCUCUGACGCCUGUCAAUAAUUCAUUUUGCUCUGCCUGUGGACACUGAAGGGUAAAUGUAAAGAAACUUAAACUGUUUGUCCCUCGAGACUAACUCUGUAUUAGUAUUCUAGCAGGGAGAAAUGACCUACUUAACAUUCCUUCAAUAAUCACCUCUAAAAAUAAACAAACCUUCCCAGAAGCUACUGUAUCUUAUCCCUCCAGAAGUACAGUGUUGUGUCUGAUAAUACUGUGCAUGGCAAGGAGACCCUAGGGAGAGGGAAGUCUCAGAUCAUGAAUCGGGUGGUUAUUGGUGUGUAAAUCAGACUCUGUCUACUGCUAUGGACUGGUAAAGAUUCAAAACAGAGUUGAAAAUGAAGCAGAACAAAUUCGGACAAUGCUGCAUUAUAAAAACUUCUGACAUUGACCAUCCUUGUUGUUUAAAGAUUUGUCCUAAUUGUGCCUCUCUUAAUGUUUCCUUUGUUUCUAUUUUAUAUCGUAAUAUAGAAUGACCAAUGUCAAAUACUGUUAAAGUACUGUACACUAAUUGAUUCUGUGAAAUUUGAGCAUGUUGCUUAAAAUCAAUGACACAUAUCAGAAAAUAAUUAUUAAAUGGAGAAGAAAACACAUUU
Molecule: long non-coding RNA, 4538 nt
Organism: Oncorhynchus keta (chum salmon)
Lineage: Eukaryota; Metazoa; Chordata; Actinopteri; Salmoniformes; Salmonidae
Exons: 5
Source: RefSeq, a predicted model, not a curated record